CGUAGGGUGCGAGCGUUAAUCGGAAUUACUGGGCGUAAAGCGUGCGCAGGCGGUUUUGUAAGACAGGCGUGAAAUCCCCGGGCUCAACCUGGGAACUGCGCUUGUGACUGCAAGGCUAGAGUACGGCAGAGGGGGGUGGAAUUCCACGUGUAGCAGUGAAAUGCGUAGAGAUGUGGAGGAACACCAAUGGCGAAGGCAGCCCCCUGGGUCGAUACUGACGCUCAUGCACGAAAGCGUGGGUAGCAAACAGGAUUAGAUACCCUGGUAGUCCACGCCCUAAACGAUGUCAACUAGGUGUUGGGUGGGUAAAACCAUUUAGUACCGGAGCUAACGCGUGAAGUUGACCGCUGGGGAGUACGGCCGCAAGGUUA
RNAcentral lists this ribosomal RNA (371 nucleotides) under uncultured organism. RNAcentral describes it as "bacterial SSU rRNA". It matches the Rfam family "Bacterial small subunit ribosomal RNA", at positions 526 to 896 of the family's 1533-position model. The record is from RNAcentral.